Molecule: transfer RNA, 25 nt
Filed under: Medicago radiata
Lineage: Eukaryota; Viridiplantae; Streptophyta; Magnoliopsida; Fabales; Fabaceae
Also listed under: 23 other names
Description: partial tRNA-Leu
Source: RNAcentral
CGAAAUCGGUAGACGCUACGGACUU